Molecule: ribosomal RNA, 387 nt
Filed under: uncultured bacterium
Lineage: Bacteria
Description: bacterial SSU rRNA
Rfam family: Bacterial small subunit ribosomal RNA
Source: RNAcentral
GGAUGAAGGCCUUCGGGUCGUAAACUGCGGUAGUUAGGGAAGAAUAUGGCGCAAGUCAUUAUGACCGUACCUAACGGAAAGAGGUGGGUAACUACGUGCCAGCACCAGCGGUAAUACGUAGACCUCAAGCGUUAUCCGGAUUUAUUGGGCGUAAAGCGUGUGUAGGAGGUUUGGUGCGUCUCUACUUAAAGCCCAUCGCCUAACGAUGGAUCUGGUAGAGAUACGAUCAAACUGGAGGGGAUUAGAGGUGAGCGGAGCGCACGGUGUAGGGGUGAAAUCCGUUGAUAUCGUGCGAAACACCAAAGGCGAAGGCAGCUCACUGGGAUCUUCCUGACUCUGAGACACGAAAGCGUGGGGAGCAAAAAGGAUUAGAUACCCCCGUAGUCC